CCUACGGGUGGCAGCAGUGAGGAAUAUUGGUCAAUGGGCGCGAGCCUGAACCAGCCAAGUCGCGUGAGGGAAGACGGUUCCAUGGAUUGUAAACCUCUUUUGUCGGGGAGCAAAAGACGCCACGCGUGGCGCUCCGAGAGUAACCGAAGAAAAAGCAUCGGCGAACUCCGGUCCUGCAGCCGGGGUAAUACGGGGGAUGCAGGGGUUAUCCGGAUUUAUUGGGUUAAAGGGGUGUGAAGGGGGAAGGUCAAGCCAGCGGUAAAACUGAGGGGCUCAACCUCUUCGAGCAGUUGAAACUGGUUGUCUUGAGUGAGUGAGAGGGAUGCGGAAUGCGUGGUGUAGCAGUGAAAUGCAUAGAUAUCGCGCAGAACUCCGAUGGCGAAGGCAGGAUACCGGCGCUCAACUGACGCUCAUGCACGAAGGUGUGGGUAUCGAACAGGAUUAGAUACCCUGGUAGUC
Molecule: ribosomal RNA, 459 nt
Filed under: uncultured bacterium
Lineage: Bacteria
Description: partial 16S ribosomal RNA
Rfam family: Bacterial small subunit ribosomal RNA
Source: RNAcentral